UCACUUAUUUGAUAAGAGCACUUCUACACGCAGCAGAAAGAAGAGCAUUCCCAUUCAACAUAAAUGGGUCUAAAUCCAAGCUUUAUCUGUUCAUGCUUAUAUAAUCUAGAAUGAGUAUUUUACUUUCUGAGUUCCUCUCUCUUCCUCUGUAAAAUGAAGAUAAUAAACUUAAAAAGGAAACAUUGUUUUCUUUUACUAAAAGCAAAUCUAGAAACCCAUAUCCAUGGAAAAAGAAGCUUGGUGGUGAGAUGGGUAGGGGCACCAAACUGCUUUGGCAUUUCCCCCAGUUCUGUCUUUCUGUGAGGUUGUCUCAAUUUUACUACCACUGCUAACAUUUGGGAUCUUCUCAGAACUGAGUUCUAGUUAGCAGUAGUUGAAUCAGAAAUCUACAGUGUGUAAACUAGGCUUCUACAGUGCUUUUGUCUUUUCCAUAUUUGUGUCCUUUUUCUUUUUUUCCUUGUUUAGUAAAGUUAUUUAGUAAAGUCCCAUUAAAAUCAGCAGCCUAGAAAAAAAACAAAGUUCCAGUUGUGCUAAUGGAUCUAAUUUGGGAUUUCUGGCCAGGUAAAGAAUAGAGCUGGAGAUAGAGGGUAGACAUAGUAUUCAGGGCAGCAAUGUUAAUGAGCGAUGCCUAAGAAACUUCAGGGAACAGAGUUGAAUUAUUUGGUUAGGCGUGAUUUCCUACUAGGAAGAGUACCAAGGUGGUUGUUACAGGGACUGGAUAUAACAAUAGAUAUCAAAGUGUUCAGUAUUGUAACAUGGCACAUCCUUUUGAAGCAUUUUGACAAGUAUAAACAUGAUAAAAUUAGAUAUUUUAAAAACUUUUUUAAGAAACCAAAUUCUACUAGAAAAAGGGAGAAUAAUAUGAUUAUUUAAAAAUUAUACUCAGUAAUUCCAUCCAUCCAGUUCAAGACAUAUAAUGUAAUAUAAUCAUAUAACUUUUUUAUGAAGUCUGUGGUAAGGAUAAUGAUCCCUGUUUUACUAGAGGCAAAAAGACAUUAUGUGCAUAUUUCCAAAUCAUAGGUAGAGUUUAAAUCAGGACUGAAAACUUUCAGUUUCUAUACAUAAUCAAUGCUCAAUGAAACUUGUUGCAUGAAUUAAUGUUGUUGGUUGAAUUUUACUGCUCCCUAAAAUAUGUCACAUUUCAUAAUUUUUAAGUCUCAGAGAAAUCUGUUUAUACUCAUUGCAAGACAAUAAAGAAAAAUACUUCUGUAAAUAGUGUUAAAUGACUCCUUCUGGCUGGUGGAAUCAGGGAAAAGGGAAUUGUAGUCACCAAUUUAUUUCCUGAUUCAGAAAAUGACUCACUAUGUAACUUUGUGAACGUUGCUUAACCUUUUAGCAUUCCAGUUUCCACAGCUGAAAAACAGGGAUAAUAUUUGUCCACCUUACAAUGGUAAAUGCUCUAGAAAUAAAAAAAAAAUUAAUCUCAUAUCAAGGGACAGUAAAGCUGGUUUUUCAUGUACUUGAGAUAUCACUGACACAUUCACAAAACAGUUUCUGCCAAAAUUGUAUGGUUAAUGCUUCCCGAUCACCUCCCUAAACACCACAUUGUGCACUGAACUCUUUUUAUCCUGCCCUGAAUCAGAAUGGUAAUUGCCGUGGGGUGUGUUCAACAUGACUGAUGAGGCACAUCACGCAGCCUGUAUCACCCGCCUGUGCCAGAGUGCUUUCUGCAUGGUUGUCAAGGAAGACAAAACUCAACAGAAGGAGAAAGAUCCAUACUGUGGGAAUAAACUUUCUCUUUGAAUUUUGAUUCUGGAAAACCAACUAAAAUUAUGAAUGAGCCAAUUUCAUUUGCAGUCUUCCUGCCAUAAUAUACAACUGUUCUGUUUCCCUCAGAUUCUGGAUUCCAUAAUUUAGGAAUAAGAUGUGCAAGUCCUCUCUUGUGCUUUGCUUAUUUUCUUCUUCCCCUGCUUAUAAAUUUGGUUUUCUUUUGUUUUUAAAGAACAGUUAUUGGGGCACCAGGGUGGCUCUGUCAGUUGAGCAUCUGACUCUUGAUUUAGGCUCAGGUCAUGAUCCCAGGGUCUUGGGAUUGAGCCCUGCAUCAGGCUCUGCACUGAGUGUGGAGCCUGCCUGAGAUUCUCUCUCUCCCUUUGCCCCAUCCCUUGCUCGUGCUCUCUCUCUUUCUAAAAUAAAAUAAAAAAAUUAAAGAACAGAUAUUUAUGAUAGCUAGCUCAGGAUCUUGCAGUAUCUGUUGCUUGACAUACCAAUAUCUUUACCCAUUAUUUUCUCAGCCUGCAGUAACUGCAGUUCAUUAAAGUCCCUGUGUCCCUUCAAACUUUUCUUCUUAAUCAUCUAUUGCUUAUAUGGAGUUUUACCUUUAAGUGAGAAAUCCCAAUAUACCUUAACUAGAUAAAGAAUCUUGGUGAUUACCACAAAGAGAUAAUGAGCAGACAGUAUCAAACCUCAUUAACUUUCUACUCUGACAAAAGUCCUCCUGUAUAGAGAUAUGGAAUUGACACCAAAAAGAGGUGUAUAGAAUAGGUAUAGAAUUGAUGGGGGGAAAAAAAAGCCAAUGGGGUUGUCAAACACAACUGAUCAAAACCGGGCUUCAAAUUGAAAAGUAGUGGAAGGGGCACCUGGGUGGCUCAGUUAGUUAAGUGUCUGACUCGAUUUCGGCUCAGGUUUAUGAGUUUGAGCUCCGCAUCGGUCUCUGCACUGACAGUGAGGAGCCUGCUUGGGAUUCUCUCUCUCUCUCUCUCUCUCUCUCUCUCUCUCCCCCUCUCUCUCUCUGCCCCUCCCCUGUUUGUGUUCUAUCUCUGUCUCUCAAAAUAAAUUAACUAAUUAAAAAAAAAGAAAUGAAAGAAAAGUAGUUGACAGAGAGAAGGCUGUUGUUUAGAAAAUAAUUAAGAUUUUACAUUACAAAAACAGACUUUUCCAAAUGUAAACACUUUGAGAGGGGAUAAAAAAAUAAAGUGACUUUCUCAAGUAUCAUGUGCCCAUUACACAAAGUAAGAUUUUCUGAUUUUGUAUCGAGCUGUGAUUUAACGCUGUUUCUUUCAGUGCACCGUGACUCACCUCCUCUGUAAAACUAGAUUUGGAGUUUGAAAAUUUGGUUUCACAGCCCUCCGCUGCACAUCAGAGCAGGGUCAUUAGUGUUCACAUUUAUGUGUCCAGAAGUAUGGAUAUCUGACCAUAAGUACUAAAUCCAUAAAAUGGAUGGUCAUUGUAUAUUGGGCACACUGUCAAGAUGUUUAGAUGUUGUUAACAUGAUACAACUUACCCAGAAAACUUAGACCAAGCUUCAAGUGCAAUGUUGUUCCAUGCCAGUAUUUCCCAACCUGUUUUCUUUAAAAUGUGUGAGAUAUUGUUUGUACUGCUAAAACAUUUCAUGUUUGAGAAUAGCUGCUUGCUACAUAUACACCUCUUGGAAAUUCAUAAUAUACAUUAGCCUAUUAAAUAAUCCAAAAUUUUGUCGAAGGCAGUAAAUUUAACUCAGCCCUCUUCAGAAUCACUUGACCAAGGACCAUCUUUUAUAUUUUUAUUUUUCUGGGAAUGUCUAAUAGAAUCUCUCAGACCCUCUGACACAGUUUGGCAAAUUAUAUUUUAUACUUGAGUUUUCAAUCCCCUUAAGGUGGGAUUGAACUUUCAUCAGUGAUUCCUUCAACACAUUCCAAACUGUAUAUGUAAAUUUUAAAUACAACUAACUUCCCUAUUAGCAGAGACCUAGUUUAGGUGUGACCUGGGAAAGGAUUAACUACAAUUCCUUUUUCUUCUGAAUCUUCCUUUAUAGAAUUUGUGGGCAAGCAGCUUCCUCGUUUUGACGGUGAGCAAGCACAAAGUAUUUGUUUAAUUGAAUCAGGGUAUACCAGUAUCAGAAACUUCCAUUUCCUCCAAAUAAGGGGCAAAAAGAAAAAGUGAGCUAAAUUAUCUUUUCCUUCACUUUUACAUAUUCUGUUUAAAGACUAUCUGCCAAAGACAAAAAGACAUGUUGAGGUGUUUUAUCUGCUUAUCAUGUUUAUUUGCCAAUCCCUGUGCUUUGAAUGCUGAAUGGGCCCAACCAGGCAGGUGUCUCUGGAGAUGUGAAUUAACAGUGAAUUUAGGUAGCAGAAGCUGGAAUGAGGUCUAGCAAUUCUCUUAAAAAAAUAAAAAGAAAAGUACAUAAAGUUCAUACACAUUAGCAUGUGUUGUUUUUCUUCUCCCUACCCCUUCCCCCACUCCAGGCUCUCCCUUUUGAGAAUAACUGGAGUUUCUCUUUUAGUUUUGCUGUUAAGAAUGAUUUUGCUUUCACUUUUUCAGAUAGGAUCAUAGAAUCAUAGAAUCUCAAAAGUCCAAUUUCACAUAAAUUUUCUUCGUCCAAACUCAUACCCUUCCUUCCAAGGAUGUAUGUACUUUAUUACAGAAAAGUAAAAAAGAAGAUGAGUCUCAUGUAUUUUGGAGAUCUCUUCAGUCGAGUACUGACAUUCUCAAGUAUUUCAGUCCCUAUUUUAAAGCUGGAGGAUAGAACAUGGAGACGAAGAGACUUAUGCAUUGUCACAUAGUGAGUCAUCAACAUCCCAGGAAGAAGGAACCAUUUUCUCUAUCCAUUACCCAAACUUUUUUUUCUUUUCUGUUUUUGCUGUGAACUUUGUAUCCAUUGUCAAAUAUGUUUAGAUGAGUUAGAGAAACACACACACACACACACACACACACACACACACACACCUACAUUUACAACAUUGCAGCAUUAUCCUUGAAUUUUUUUAAACAUUCAAUUAGCAUUUGUACCAGGUCAAUGCUAGUUUCCCUGUUAUGCAAACCCACACCCAUACUAAGAUACUCUAGGUUAGGAACACAGUGAUAAUAUGACUACUUGGUUUCGGUGUUUGCACAUAAGAAGCCCCAGGUUAUUUCUAGAAAAAAAUGAAAGAUUCCGAGGACAGUCUCACCAAUGAAAAUGACCGCCCUCUGUCUCUCUGUCUCUCUCUCUCUCUCCAUCUCUCUCUCUCUCUCUCUCUCUCUCUCUCUGAUAAAGAAAAAAAGCAACUAUGAUAAAGGGGAAAGGGAAUGUGGAAUUACGGAAUAUCAAAAAUAGACAAUGAAUUAAUUCUCCAUUAAGUCAAGAAAGUUGUAAAGCUAAGUUUGGGGUGCACUGAAUAAGUGGCUUCAUGAGAAUUCUGGGUGCUUAGGAAGAGGGAGUAACUGAGAUUAAGAGACAGCAUCUCCAUGACAGCUAGGACAACUCUUCCCCUUGAAAUUUAGAUGAUGCUUGUGCAAACUCCCACAAUUUCAAGGCUUGUCUACUUUCAGGACUGCUCCUGUAAUUUCCGUGGUGCAAAUGCUACCAAGAGGUCCUUUGCUUCUGGGCUCUUGCGACCCUACUAUGGCCCUUACUGAGCACAGAGAUGAUUAUCAACCCUUCCCAGAUUUCCACCAAACACCUCCUCUCAUACGAGAUGUAUGUAUGGAUGGGACCCAGCAUCUGUAUGUGGAUGGGGAGGGGUUUAAUAAAGUUUACACUGAAGCAAUACAAAUACUUCCAAAUAAAAUUUUAAGUAGCCCCAUUCUUAAAUACUCAAAUAUCUUUUGAUAUUUCUCCCCUGAGUCCCACCCCACCCUGGAAAUCAGGAGGGCAUUUUGACUUGCCCUUUUAGCCUUGUAGUUCCCAGACACUGUGUCACUCUUUCCCUUUUCUGCACCAAUCUCACCCUACUACCCACCCCCUUCUCAUAAGCAAUAACAACUACUUUUCACUUCCUCAAGCUGAGGGGUAGAGCCUUCUCUUAGAUGCCCACCCACCCCCUCACAGCCUCACUUUCUAUUCCAAGCAGCUGAUGAUGGGUUUUCCCUGAACAGUAGGAUUCUGGGGCCACCUCUCUACAGAUGGAAUUUCACCCAUAUCACAGUUUUGCCCAGGGCCACUUGCUGUUUCUUCUCUCUCAGAGGCAAUGCUACUUAAAGACUAGUUUUGUGAAAAGUUAUUCAUCAAAUUCAGGUGUUCAGUUAGAGUGAGACUUCUCCUAAAAUUUUGAAGUUCUGUUGAAUUAGAUGAGAAAAUUAGGAUAAGAAAACUUGCCCCACAAGUGCAUCAAUCAUCCCCACUGAGAGCACUCACUGUCCUGUAGCAAUGUCACAAGGGGGGUUGCAAGAGAUCAGAAGCUCUGCAGCUACAUGGUCCAAGUAUGAAUUCCAGCCCCGCUCUAGCUAUGCAUCCUGGGACAAUUCCUUAAUAUCUGGGUCCCUUAGUUUCCCUAUUUAUAAAAUAGUAGAACCCACCUUGUAGUACAGACUAAAUGAAUUAACAUGUAUGGAGCAUUUUGAAAAAUACUUGGCACCUAUAAGUGUGAGCGGAUUUUGUUUUGACUUGGACAAAUGACAAAAGGCUAAGGAAGGGCUGGGCAGAGCACAGACAGCAGCAACAGAGCUCCUUUGGCAGAAGUUUUCCCCUAGGAGGUAAAAGAGAUGGUUGAUGUUACUAUUGUAAGAGCUUGGAAAACUCCACUCAGGAAUUAGUCCUGUUGGCAGGUUCUUUGGCUGUAAACUUUUGUAGGUUGAAAUCCUAAAGAAAAGCUAGGGGUCUCCCCAGCCCGAGUUUCACAUCUGGGUUUUUUUUUUUUUUUUUAAUAAACAAGGCUUUGCUUUAGGAGUGAAGGUAGACCCUACCUCUCAUAUAGUAAUCCUUUAUUUUCUGAACAAAGUGAACCAAAAAUCUUUGGAGAAAAAAAUAAAACGCAUGAAUGUAUAUGCUUAAGAGAAGUCUUCCUUACUAUCUCUCUGAAGAACACCAGUCUUAUGAUCUCAUAUCUAUACUGCCUUGCAUAUAGUACAUGCUCAGUAAUUACCAGUUGGUUUGAUUUUCAUCUUUAUUUUUUUAAUAUGAAAUUUAUUGUCAGUUGGUUUCCAUACAACACCUAGUGUUAAUCCCAACAGGUGCCCUCCUCAAUACCCAUCAUCUACCCUUCCUUCCCUCCCACCCCCCAUCAACCUUCAGUUUAUUCUCAGUUUUUAAGAGUCUCUUAUGGUUUGUGAUUUUCAUCUUUAAAAAACAAAACAAAACUGGAAGACCUGUUUUAAACACCUGUUUGAAAAGACUGACAACUUCCACACAGGCUUAGCAGCAGCAGCAGCAACAACAGCAAUUUAUCAACGUUUAUUUAUUUAUUUAUUUUUUUUGGGACAGAGAGAAACAGAGCAUGAACGGGGGAGGGGCAGAGAGAGAGGGAGACACAGCAUCGGAAACAGGCUCCAGGCUCCGAGCCAUCAGCCCAGAGCCUGAUGCGGGGCUCGAACUCACAGACCGCGAGAUCGUGACCUGGCUGAUGUCGGACGCUUAACCGACUGCGCCACCCAGGCGCCCCAACAACAGCAAUUUAGAUAAGUUUUCCAUCCAAUUCUGGAGAGACUUAAUCACUUGGGUUUGUAUGUUAAUUUGCUGCACUUCUAACCACACAGGAGCUCCAGAUCUGGGAGUAGCCAGUGAGAAAAGAGUAUACGUGUUCUCAUUUUCAAGUGUCCUAGGAUAAAUUGUAUUCUCUUCAUUGGUGCCAGAAAAAAAUCAAUACAGACAAUAACAGUAAAAAUAUUCAUUAUUUGUGAAGGAGAAAGAGGCAAAACAAAACAAAAUAAAACAAAUACAACACUGGGGCACCACAGACAGUCAGCCUACCAGGAGUACCCUUUGUACAAAACAUAUGAAAUAUCCCCUCAAAUUGUUCAAAAGGUGGCCUGGAAGAAUACCUUUGGUGUCUAAAAUUUUAAGUGAUUUACUUUAUGGUCACAGACAGUUCAUUCAUUUUUCUGUAUCUCAUUGUUUACCUGGAGUGAUCACAUUUAAAAUGAUAAGAACCAAAAUGUUUUAGUACUUACUAUGUGUCCAGCAUAGUCUAAGCAGUCAUGCAUAUUAACUCAUUUUAUUUUUACAAAAACUCCAUUAGAUAAGUAUUCUUUUGCCCAUUUUACAAAUGAGGAAACUCAAUCCCCACCCCACCCCCCCAAAAAAAAGAAAACUUGCACAAGGUUAUGCAAGCAGUAAGUAGUGGAGCUAGGGUUCAGAUGGAUUUGGCCAGUUCCAGAGACUGAGGUGCUACAAUACUACCUAAUUUAUCAGGCCCUAGGGCACCAUGGUAUUCAUGGCCAUUGUAGUUGAGGCAACAUUUCCUAGUUGGGUGGACUGAGCAUGAGUUUUUUUGGUUAGGAUUUUAGGAGAGUAAUUCAAGGGAGUCCUCUAUCCCCAAGGACCAUGGAGAUAUCUGACCAUUACAGAGACCUUCAAAAGGCCACUCGUUAAACAAAUUCAGAAAAACUAUAUGUUAAAUCUUCUUAUCAUCUGACUGGGCAUUCUAGAAAACCAGAGAGCCAUAAAGUGUUUCUAUGUAAGUGCUGAAAGUUGGGGAUUCUCUUAAAGACUGGAGGGCCUCUUGUUCCCAGUACAAAAAAAGUGAGGCAAAGUCUAUAUGGUUUUAUUCAGAUAGGAAGGUGCAGGUUGAUUUCAUACUCCAUCAGCAGCCCUCAUUUACACCCUAGAUUUUAAGGCAUCAUACUCCAUGUCUCAUUUCCCAUGUCCCAUUUGUGGAGCAAUUAGAAAAACUCUCCAUCGUUGUUGGGUGCUUUGAAAUUCUCAGUUGGAUGCUUCUUUGUGAAUGUAAGGCAGUCAUUUUAUUUUAAAGCCAUUUGAUUGUUCCCAGAUCAGCAACUCUGUUCCAUGACAAAAUCUUUGACUGCUACUUGUUUUCUUUGAAAAGAGUAAUUUCCAAAAGAAAGUAGGUAAAGAAGUUAUUACAAGAGCAUAUAAAAUAUUAGGGAUUGUGUGAUGGUUACUUGUAAGCAAAAGGAAUAGGAAAAACAAGGAAGAAAAGAAAGGGAGAUUUUAGUUUUCUAAAAAACUAACAAAGUCCCACUUUAGUCUGGGAGUAUCCGGUCAGAGUAGUUCUGAAAGGAUUACCUGGCCCUCAGCUCUUGGGAAUUCUUAGCUCCAUGGUGUUUGUUUUUGUCUCCCAACAGAGGUGUGGUAUGAAGGGGUCAUGUAGAAGGUGAGCAAGAUGUUAAAUGCUCCAUUUCCUCACUGUGAAGGAACACUGCUGUCAAGCCAGGUGAGCUGAAAUAACUGGAUAUGCUUCUUCAUGGAGCUAGUGUUCUUAGCAAACACUUCCUCAACAAUUCUUAUUCCCUGACUUGAGCAUUCUUUGCCACUACCAAUUACAGGAAUAUGGAGGUAGUCAAAACACCUUUAGGAAUGCCUGGGUGGCUCACCUGGUUAAACAUCUGACUUCAGAUCGACUUUGGCUCAGGUCAUGAUCUCACAGUUCCUGAGUUUGAGCCCUGCAUUGGGCUCUGCGCCUGCUUUGGGUCCUCUGUCUCCCUUUCUCUGACCCUCCCUCACUCGUGCUCUCUCUCUCAAAAAUAAAUAAACAUUAAAAAAAAAAAAAAAACUCCAAAAAAGAAAUUGGCAAAGAAAUAGAAUAUUAUUUUCUGUUUUCUAUAAAAGAGGUCUUUCAUACUACACUAUCACUACUUGAAUGAGUUAGACAUUUGUAACCUGAUCUAAUAAAGAAAUAACUUAGAUGA
Molecule: long non-coding RNA, 9480 nt
Filed under: Lynx pardinus (Iberian lynx)
Lineage: Eukaryota; Metazoa; Chordata; Mammalia; Carnivora; Felidae
Source: RNAcentral